GCGGUAUCCUAACCGUGCAAAGGUAGCAUAAUCACUUGUCCCCUAAAUAGGGACCCGUAUGAACGGCUAAAUGAGAACACGCCUGUCUCCCACGACUAAUCAAUGAAACUGAUCCCCCAGUACAAAAGCUGGAAUAAACCCACAAGACGAGAAGACCCCGUGGAGCUUAAAACACACUGCUAACCAAACCCCCGCACAUCAAAAGACCUACCAAAAACAAGCCCAUAGCAAGAGUUUUCAGUUGGGGCGACUGCGGAGAAAAACAGAACCUCCAUGAACCACGGCUAACCCCGCCCCCAGGCCGACAGACCAACGGACACAUAACUGACCCAGCACAACACUGACCACCGAACCAAGUUACCCCGGGGAUAACAGCGCCAUCCUCUUCAAGAGCCCAUAUCGCCAAGAGGGUUUACGACCUCGAUGUUGGAUCAGGACACCCCAGUGGUGCAGCCGCUACUAAAGGUGCGUUUGUUCAACGCUUAAAGUCCUACGUGAUCU
Molecule: ribosomal RNA, 501 nt
Filed under: Gehyra sp. MF-2012
Lineage: Eukaryota; Metazoa; Chordata; Lepidosauria; Squamata; Gekkonidae
Description: partial 16S ribosomal RNA
Rfam family: Bacterial large subunit ribosomal RNA
Source: RNAcentral